GAGUUAAAAGGGGCUGCUAAUGGGGCUGCAUGGUUAAGAGUGCCCAUGGACGUCUUCCCUUGUGCCACUCACCUUGCACACUCAGCUUGCCCACUUAUGUGCACCAACAGCCCCCCAGACCCCAGUAUAUCCAUUGACAUUGGUUGGUUGGGUCCAAAGGAGCUGCUAAUUGGGAUUGCAUGGCUAAGUGUCCCCAACCCAAUGCAUGGAGAUCUCCCCUUGCACACUCACCUUGCACACUCACCUUGCACACUUAUGUGCACCAACAACCCCCCAGACCCCGCUCUAUCCUUUGCCAUUGGGUUUGGGCUGCUGAUCAUGGGCUAUGAAGGAGCUACAGCUCAAUGGCUCACAGUCCAUAGAUCCCAUGGAGAUGUCUCCUUGCACACUCACCCUGCACACUCAUCUUGCACACUUAUGUGCACCAAACCCCCCAGACCCCAGUCUAUUGUUUGCUAUUGGGUUUGGGAUGCAAACCAUGGGGUACAAAGGAGCAGCUAAUAGAGCUGCCUGGAUAUGUGUGACCCAGAACCCAAUAGAGAUCUCCCCUUGCACACUCGCCUUGCACACUUAUGUGCACCAACAAACCCCCCUAAACCACACUCUAUUGUUUGCUAUUGGGUUUGGGAUGAUGAUGGUGGGGUACAAAGGAGCAGCUAAUGGGAUUGCAUGGCUCACAGCCCAUAGAUCCCAUGGAAUCUCCCCUUGCACACUCACCUUGCACACUUACACACACACACUCCAUCCCCUUCCUUCUCCCCCCCCACCCACACGUGUCCCCAGCCCCCCCAGCCCCAUAUUAAACCUU
RNAcentral lists this long non-coding RNA (808 nucleotides) under Coturnix japonica (Japanese quail). RNAcentral describes it as "lncRNA (ENSCJPG00005002937.1)". Lineage: Eukaryota; Metazoa; Chordata; Aves; Galliformes; Phasianidae. The record is from RNAcentral.